This 380-nucleotide unclassified non-coding RNA is filed under the name uncultured bacterium. RNAcentral describes it as "contains 16S-23S intergenic spacer region". The record is from RNAcentral.
UCGCGGCUUAUCACCGGCAGUCCCCUUAGAGUGCCCAACUGAAUGAUGGCAACUAAGGGCGAGGGUUGCGCUCGUUGCGGGACUUAACCCAACAUCUCACGACACAAUCUGACGACAGCCAUGCAGCACCUGUGUUCAGGCUCCCUUUCGGGCACUCCCCCAUCUCUGGAGGAUUCCUGACAUGUCAAGGGUAGGUAAGGUUUUUCGCGUUGCAUCGAAUUAAACCACAUCAUCCACCGCUUGUGCGGGCCCCCGUCAAUUCCUUUGAGUUUCAGCCUUGCGGCCGUACUCCCCAGGCGGGGUACUUCCUGCGUUAGCGCCGGCACCCAAGGGGUCGCUCCCCCAGGCACCUAGUACCCAUCGUUUACGGCGUGGACUAC